CCUACGGGAGGCAGCAGUGAGGAAUAUUGGUCAAUGGACGAGAGUCUGAACCAGCCAAGUAGCGUGAAGGAUGACUGCCCUAUGGGUUGUAAACUUCUUUUAUAUGGGAAUAAAACGUUCCACGUGUGGGAUUUUGUAUGUACCAUAUGAAUAAGGAUCGGCUAACUCCGUGCCAGCAGCCGCGGUAAUACGGAGGAUCCGAGCGUUAUCCGGAUUUAUUGGGUUUAAAGGGAGCGUAGGUGGAUUGUUAAGUCAGUUGUGAAAGUUUGCGGCUCAACCGUAAAAUUGCAGUUGAAACUGGCAGUCUUGCGUACAGUAGAGGUGGGCGGAAGUCGUGGUGUAGCGGUGAAAUGCUUAGAUAUCACGAAGAACUCCGAUUGCGAAGGCAGUUCACUGGACUGCAACUGACACUGAGGAUCGAAAGUGUGGGUAUCAAACAGGAUUAGAUACCCAUGAGUC
This 459-nucleotide ribosomal RNA is filed under the name uncultured bacterium. RNAcentral's name for it is "partial 16S ribosomal RNA". It matches the Rfam family "Bacterial small subunit ribosomal RNA", at positions 338 to 795 of the family's 1533-position model. The record is from RNAcentral.